UACAGAGGGUGCGAGCGUUGUUCGGAAUUACUGGGCGUAAAGGGCGCGUAGGCGGCCUUCUAAGUCGAACGUGAAAUCCCCGGGCUCAACCCGGGAACUGCGUCCGAUACUGGAAGGCUUGAAUCCGGGAGAGGGAUGUGGAAUUCCAGGUGUAGCGGUGAAAUGCGUAGAUAUCUGGAGGAACACCGGUGGCGAAGGCGACAUCCUGGACCGGUAUUGACGCUGAGGCGCGAAAGCCAGGGGAGCAAACGGG
RNAcentral lists this ribosomal RNA (253 nucleotides) under uncultured bacterium. RNAcentral's name for it is "partial 16S ribosomal RNA". It matches the Rfam family "Bacterial small subunit ribosomal RNA", at positions 524 to 776 of the family's 1533-position model. The record is from RNAcentral.